Molecule: ribosomal RNA, 199 nt
Filed under: uncultured bacterium
Lineage: Bacteria
Description: partial 16S ribosomal RNA
Rfam family: Bacterial small subunit ribosomal RNA
Source: RNAcentral
CGGAUUGGAGUCUGCAACCCGACUCCAUGAAGCUGGAUUCGCUAGUAAUCGCGCAUCAGCCACGGCGCGGUGAAUACGUUCCCGGGCCUUGUACACACCGCCCGUCAAGCCAUGGAAGCCGGGGGUGCCUGAAGUGCGCUGCCGCGAGGAGCGCCCUAGGGUAAAACCGGUGACUGGGGCUAAGUCGUAACAAGGUAAC